This 1750-nucleotide long non-coding RNA is filed under the name Centruroides sculpturatus (bark scorpion). Its description in RNAcentral is "uncharacterized LOC111626282, transcript variant X5". Lineage: Eukaryota; Metazoa; Arthropoda; Arachnida; Scorpiones; Buthidae. The record is from RNAcentral.
AUUAAUAAUCGGUUAACGAACAAAGUCUUGGAACAGAUUAUGUUCGUUAACCGAUCACCCACUGUAUUACUUUAGAUGAAAAUUAAUGUUUUGUCUGUUUUUCUCAAAUGUUUAGCUGUUACCAAAAAUGGCAAAAGUACUGCUACAUGUUUGCACAGUUUGAUCAACCAACAAAUUCUAAGGUAAAGUCUAAAUUUGCAGAAGAGCAGGUUGUGUGAAUGUCCUUGAUUUUCAGAUAUUUGACAAUGUAUAUUUAUUAUUUGAAGGACGUUGGUGAUCGCAACAAUAAAUGAAUAUUUGAAAUAAAAUUAGAAUUGCUUCAGUGGGAGUAAAAAACUGAUACCAAUUUUGCAUAAUUGAAAUGAGAGCGUCUAACCCAACUUCCGUUGCACAGGUGACAAGCCAUCUCACCAUCUCUCUCCGCCUCCAAUUAAGGGAAGACAACGUCAUCCUCAUGACCUAAACAAACAGAUAGCAUUGUCGACGCUAGGGCACACUGCUGUACUUCUAUAUGGCCCAGAGUAAACCACCGAGGAUACCGACUUAAAACUGCCGCAUUUAUGACUGGAUGAUUUGAUUCUUCUAAAUCAUCUUGCUCCUCAAGAAUUGGCAAUCUAAAUAAAAGAGAAAAUUCUAAAUGUAAUAUAUAAACAGAAAAAAAUUUGGCAAAAAAAAACUGAUCAAAUGAUUUGGCAUCUGGAAGUAGAGAUGAUUCCGCUAAGGUAUCAAAAAGUGAACCAACGGGAUCAAGAGGAUGGCCUAUCCAACCUUCUGUGUUGCAGUGUAAUGGAUGAUUUGUUAUCCCAGAACUAGAACAUGACACCACUGUAAAAACAGGAAAAUUUCUUUACCUCCUCUCUCCUGCUCGGUCUGCCAUCUACACUGCCAUUCUCUUUGUUGCCGUUUCAUAGUUCUUACAAUUGCAACAGCCAAACGCAAUGCUUCUUGUUGGUAGCCAUGAGAACGUAAUGCUUCGACACGAGCACAGGCAGUUGGGAUAUGUUCUGAGAAAAAUUAGUGCAAAAAAAUUUGGAUAACCCUGAGAAUUAAAUGGUCCUGACAAUGGAAGAUCAGCGCUCGACGUCUGACUAUCAUUGGCAAGAAUAAAUUUUAAAUGGGGAUCGUCCCAGCUGAGAUGACAAGCUUCUAAAGCUCUGUGAAAAAUUGUUCGAGGUUGAGGAGGUUGAUGAUGGCUAGGCGAAGGGGGAGGUCUCUCUUGACCAUGAGGCUCUAUAAAUAAUGACACAAAUACUUCUUGGUUUGGAUGAAAUGAGCUUCAAGGGGAAAAAAAAUUUGUAAAACUUGAAUUAAAAAGUACCAUUUCCUUCAUCAUCCGAAGAAUCCGAAGAACUAUCGUCCACCAAAGGCAUUCUACCACCGCCAUUUACCAUUCUUGUGGGGCGGAAGUCAGCAUCUUCCAACGGACAAAUGUGCAUAUUUGCCCAUUUUUCUAACAGGCUUCGACACUGCUGUCGCUCUAAUUGUGUGGAGUGGGGAUUCAGGACUAUGCAGACCCAUAGUGCACCUAAAAUUACACAUUAAAUACAAUCAAAUGGGUGUAUAGAUUACGUAAUUGUCUACAAUGAAGAAAAGACUGAGGGGACGAGAAAUAGAAGAGCAAGCCCAGAAAAGAAGUAUACAAGGAAUAAUAACAUCCAAUAUGUUACAAAGAAAAUAAGCCUGUUUUCUUCACAUUUAUGGAAAUUGCAAUGAAAAAAUAUUACACAUAUACAACACUUAUUACUGUUAU